This 481-nucleotide ribosomal RNA is filed under the name uncultured bacterium. RNAcentral's name for it is "partial 16S ribosomal RNA". It matches the Rfam family "Bacterial small subunit ribosomal RNA", at positions 28 to 507 of the family's 1533-position model. The record is from RNAcentral.
GAUGAACGCUGGCGGCGUGUCUAACACAUGCAAGUCGAACGGAGAUUACGGACGGAAGUUUUCGGAUGGAAGCCUGUAAUUCUUAGUGGCGGACGGGUGAGUAACGCGUGGGCAACCUGCCCUAUACAGGGGGAUAGCAGCUGGAAACGGCUGGUAAGACCGCAUAAGUCGGUUAAAUCGCAUGAUUUGAUCGGGAAAUGAGCAAUCAGGUAUAGGAUGGGCCCGCGUCCGAUUAGCCAGUUGGCAGGGUAAAAGCCUACCAAAGCGACGAUCGGUAGCCGGACUGAGAGGUCGGACGGCCACAUUGGGACUGAGACACGGCCCAAACUCCUACGGGAGGCAGCAGUGGGGGAUAUUGCACAAUGGAGGAAACUCUGAUGCAGCGACGCCGCGUGAGUGAAGAAGUAUUUCGGUAUGUAAAGCUCUAUCAGCAGGGAAGAUGAUGACGGUACCUGACUAAGAAGCCCCGGCUAACUACGUG